RNAcentral lists this ribosomal RNA (618 nucleotides) under uncultured Gammaproteobacteria bacterium. RNAcentral describes it as "partial 16S ribosomal RNA". Lineage: Bacteria; Pseudomonadati; Pseudomonadota; Gammaproteobacteria. The record is from RNAcentral.
ACGCGUUGGGAGCUCUCCCAUAUGGUCGACCUGCAGGCGGCCGCGAAUUCACUAGUGAUUCGUAUUACCGCGGCUGCUGGCACAGAGUUAGCCGGUGCUUAUUCUGUCGGUAACGUCAAAACAGCAAAGUAUUAAUUUACUGCCCUUCCUCCCAACUUAAAGUGCUUUACAAUCCGAAGACCUUCUUCACACACGCGGCAUGGCUGGAUCAGGCUUUCGCCCAUUGUCCAAUAUUCCCCACUGCUGCCUCCCGUAGGAGUCUGGACCGUGUCUCAGUUCCAGUGUGACUGAUCAUCCUCUCAGACCAGUUACGGAUCGUCGCCUUGGUGAGCCAUUACCCCACCAACUAGCUAAUCCGACCUAGGCUCAUCUGAUAGCGCAAGGCCCGAAGGUCCCCUGCUUUCUCCCGUAGGACGUAUGCGGUAUUAGCGUCCGUUUCCGAACGUUAUCCCCCACUACCAGGCAGAUUCCUAGGCAUUACUCACCCGUCCGCCGCUCUCAAGAGAAGCAAGCUUCUCUCUACCGCUCGACUUGCAUGUGUUAGGCCUGCCGCCAGCGUUCAAUCUGAGCCAUGAUCAAACUCUAAUCGAAUUCCCGCGGCCGCCAUGGCGGCCGGGA